GCUAGGGCAAUCAACGAUUUUAAAUGAUAGAAUAUAGAGUUAUUAAGUAACUUACAGAGUUACAGGGCUUCCAGAGAGAAUUGAAUAGAAUUUAUAGACCUAAAUUACACAGAUAUUGGUCCACAGGUCGACAGGGUUUCAUCCAUGUUUUAUCAGGAAUUUGUCCGGAAAAAAAAUUUUGACCCUUAAUUUAACUGGUUUUUGUCCGGAAAAAGUUUUUCGACCCUUUUUUGAAUGUCUGAAAAUUUUUUUUUCAACCUCCUCUUCCCCCCCCCCCCCGCCCUGGUCUGACAUAUGAAGAAGCAUUACUGGACUGAUGUAACCUUAAAACAUUAGAAACUCGUAGGGAAGAGAUGUGUGGAAAACCUUAUAAAAAAUAAUGGUAGACCCUAGACAUGGAUUACAUAGUUUAUUGCCAGAAACAGUUAAUCAGAUAAGACCACUCUCCUCCGCAGAGACUUACGAAUUUUUAGUAAAAUUACGUAAUAUUACGGGGGGAGGGACAAAUUACGCAAGGUAUUAUGGGAAGACGGAAGCUACGUUUGUAAACCAUCGAUCUCACUCCCCCCCCGUCGCGCACCACUAAAUGUCCUCUACUAUCCCUACAUUAUCCCUACAAAUCCUAUAAUAAUUCAGACUCUGCGGAGGAGAGUGAGAUAAGACAGAGACAAACUAGAUCAAAUGGAGAAAAACUGUAUAAUUUUAGAUAUCGAAACGAACGAUUUAAAAAUAGCCCUAUUGUCUUAUUGAGUAUUGUGCAUGGGAUUGAAAGUUUUAACAGAAGGCUUGAGUUGAAGUAAAUUUGUCGAUCCCUUAGUUAGAAUUCUUAUAAAUUUUAAAUGGAAUUCACAUUGUAAAUUAGUAUAUACUAUUUUUAUGGAAGAUUAAAAAAGAUUAACACGCAAGUACUCAAUAAAUCAAUGAGACGCACAUGUUUAAUAUAUCUGUCACCUGCAUGUGAUUGCCCUUUAACCCCUGGUGUUGGCAACAACUGCAUUUCUCGAAUCGAUUCCGUAUGCUUUGGCCACAGUGCUCACCAGUCGCUGGCUCGCUGCGAGUAAUAACUGUGCUUUAUAUAAUUUGUACUAUUUAGUUCUAUUUGCUCUUAAUGCCCGCAGCAAUCCCUACCUUGCAGGAAGUGGUUUGUUUUGUCGAACUUGCCCGCCUCAAAUGUCCAUGUUUAUAAUAAUCAACACGGGAUUAAAUCAUCUCGCAGCAAAGCGAGAUAGCUCGGUUGCCUGUUAUGUAAAUGCUAAUGCCAAACUCCACACUUCUUAUUUUCGUCUUAUAUAAGGUAUACACAAAAUGCCUUCGCUUGGCACUUUACGAUCCAGUUCAAAACAAAAUCAAAAGAGUAACAGCGACCCACUGCAAACAGCUCAUAGAUUAGAAACGAACAACAUAUAGAUUGCAGACUUUAUAUACUAGCUUUAUAUGCUAGCUUUAUAUACUAGCUUUAUAUACUAGCUUCCCGAGGGCCGAGACUUUAUAUACUAGCUAAUUCCCGAUGAAGUGCUUUCGCUCGAAACGUGGUAUAGAGUACAGUGCAUUCCAUGUAUAAAACGAUACGCCAGAUUUUAAUACGCCAUGGAAAACUUGUGCUAGGAAGACUUGAGACAAAAAGUCUUUGGAAUACCCUAAAUAUGCUUGUAAUAAAUAUGCUUUGUACUGGGAAACCCCGCAACAUCGUUAUAGCAUUCUGAUUGGUUCGAUCCCUCCGAUCCCUUAUAUGUGCUUUCGGCCAAUCAGCAAAGACUUUACGAGAGGUGCUAUACUUCUGUUUUUCUGGCUUACUGCGCGGAAAUAUAAAUGGCACCGUGUCUGAUUUUAGCUUUGGCCUUUUUUGGUAGCCAGGCACAAGAUCGAGCGUUCUUUCGAAGCAGUCUGGUGUAAAAUGCGCCGAACAAACACAUGAAUUAUUUAUAUCGCGUGGGUUUACUCUGCGAAUUCUCGCCAACAACGCUUCUCGCAAACCUUUUUCUUUUGGAAUUCUGUGGUAGCUGAUUCGCACAGUUUUCCGUGAGUUGUUAGUACACUCAGGAACCAUGCAAUGUGGCAUCUUCGGUUACAAAUAUUUAAAAGGAAACUCUAAAG
Molecule: non-coding RNA, 2094 nt
Organism: Paramuricea clavata
Lineage: Eukaryota; Metazoa; Cnidaria; Anthozoa; Malacalcyonacea; Plexauridae
Source: the annotation of a GenBank genome assembly